AGCAGUCGCCGCGGGAACACGAAGGGGGCUAGCGUUGCUCGGAAUUACUGGGCGUAAAGGGAGCGUAGGCGGACAUUUAAGUCAGGGGUGAAAUCCCAGAGCUCAACUCUGGAACUGCCUUUGAUACUGGGUGUCUUGAGUGUGAUAGAGGUAUGUGGAACUCCGAGUGUAGAGGUGAAAUUCGUAGAUAUUCGGAAGAACACCAGUGGCGAAGGCGACAUACUGGAUCAUUACUGACGCUGAGGCUCGAAAGCGUGGGGAGCAAACAGGAUUAGAUACCCCCGUAGUCCCUGUCUCUUAUAA
This 303-nucleotide ribosomal RNA is filed under the name uncultured bacterium. RNAcentral describes it as "partial 16S ribosomal RNA". It matches the Rfam family "Bacterial small subunit ribosomal RNA", at positions 507 to 809 of the family's 1533-position model. The record is from RNAcentral.